GCGAGUUUGUCCGAGUGGUUAAGGAGUCUGACUCGAAAUCAGAUGGGCUCUGCCCGCGCAGGUUCGAAUCCUGUAGCUCGCG
Molecule: transfer RNA, 82 nt
Organism: Oikopleura dioica
Lineage: Eukaryota; Metazoa; Chordata; Appendicularia; Copelata; Oikopleuridae
Rfam family: tRNA
About the family: Transfer RNA (tRNA) molecules are approximately 80 nucleotides in length.
Source: Rfam